This 907-nucleotide long non-coding RNA is filed under the name Anthonomus grandis grandis. Its description in RNAcentral is "uncharacterized LOC126750010". Lineage: Eukaryota; Metazoa; Arthropoda; Insecta; Coleoptera; Curculionidae. The record is from RNAcentral.
UUAGAGCUCAUUAACCGCCCGAUUCCGCCGCUGAUAUGAUCGUCAGUAAACCAGUUUGUAAUUGUACGCGUUGGGUGAUGUCCGCUUGUUGUUCUUAAAUCCCGUUUAUCGCUCAUUAAGAGGAAAAAGCAAAAAAAAAACAACAACAAAAAUAUCGCGAUUAUUUUUAAAUCAAACGAUAAGGAUACGACGGUUUGUCCGUACGGGUUUUCCGCACUCAGUUAUAAAAUGUACAAUUUUUUAGUAUUUCUCGUGUGUCUUCGUUUAAGUUCUGGCUCAGAAACGUUAGGUUUAGACGAAGGUCAAAAGUGCGGCGAAGGUACUUGCACCAAAAUAGUACAGUGCGCGCCAGCCCUGGUCUCCCUCAGGACCUACCGCGAGCACGGCCUCCUCAGAUGCGGCUUUGACGGGUUCGAAGAGAUCGUCUGCUGCCCGGGAAAAAACGGUACGUUCUCCAUCGGAGUCUAGUACCGUGGACUCGACCCUGGUAUGGUCCGACGGCGAUAAAAAGAAAAAACCGACCAAAGGAGGCAAAGGAAACGGUUUCGCCCGGCAACACUGGACGCAUCAAAACGAAACGGAAAUGCGAAUUGAUGUGCGAGAAGAUUCACAAGGAGAACAACGUCAAACCGGAAAUAAACUUCCACGUGCUCAACGGUGAGGACGCAGAGUCCGGCCAGUUUCCUCAUAUGGCGGCUUUGGGUUACGACACCCCCGACGGUACCAUCGACUGGCAACGGUGCGCAGGCUCGUUGAUCUCGCCCCGAUUCGUACUGACCGCGUCGCACUGCGUCUUUUUGCGUCAACUGCGCCGAUCCGGUCAAAGUUCGGUUCGGCGUGAGCGACGUUACGUAAGUUUUACCGGGUACUUGCUAUGUGGCAACACUGCAUCUAUUAUUGUUAUUCA